CGCUGGCGGCAGGCCUAACACCUGCAAGUCGAGCGGUAGCACAGAGAGCUUGCUCUCGGGUGACGAGCGGCGGACGGGUGAGUAAUGUCUGGGAAACUGCCUGAUGGAGGGGGAUAACUACUGGAAACGGUAGCUAAUACCGCAUAACGUCGCAGGACCAAAGUGGGGGACCUUCGGGCCUCAUGCCAUCAGAUGUGCCCAGAUGGGAUUAGCUAGUAGGUGGGGUAACGGCUCACCUAGGCGACGAUCCCUAGCUGGUCUGAGAGGAUGACCAGCCACACUGGAACUGAGACACGGUCCAGACUCCUACGGGAGGCAGCAGUGGGGAAUAUUGCACAAUGGGCGCAAGCCUGAUGCAGCCAUGCCGCGUGUAUGAAGAAGGCCUUCGGGUUGUAAAGUACUUUCAGCGGGGAGGAAGGCGAUAAGGUUAAUAACCUUGUCGAUUGACGUUACCCGCAGAAGAAGCACCGGCUAACUCCGUGCCAGCAGCCGCGGUAAUACGGAGGGUGCAAGCGUUAAUCGGAAUUACUGGGCGUAAAAGCGCACGCAGGCGGUCUGUCAAGUCGGAUGUGAAAUCCCCGGGCUCAACCUGGGAACUGCAUUCAAACUGGCAGGCUAGAGUCUUGUAGAGGGGGUAGAAUUC
RNAcentral lists this ribosomal RNA (643 nucleotides) under Klebsiella pneumoniae. Its description in RNAcentral is "bacterial SSU rRNA". It matches the Rfam family "Bacterial small subunit ribosomal RNA", at positions 34 to 669 of the family's 1533-position model. Lineage: Bacteria; Pseudomonadati; Pseudomonadota; Gammaproteobacteria; Enterobacterales; Enterobacteriaceae. The record is from RNAcentral.